UAGUCAUAUGCUUGUCUCAAAGACUAAGCCAUGCAUGUCUAAGUAUAAAUGUUAUACAGUGAAACUGCGAAUGGCUCAUUAAAACAGUUAUAGUUUAUUUGAUAAUCGAAUUUUACAUGGAUAACCGUGGUAAUUCUAGAGCUAAUACAUGCUGGUUCGCCUGACUCUCGAGGAAGGGCGGUAUUUAUUAGAUAACAAACCAAUAUUCCCUAGGUCUAUUGUGACGACUCAUAAUAACUGAUCGAAUCGCAUGGACCUUGUCCGCGAUGCGUCAUUCAAGUUUCUGCCCCAUCAGCUGUCGAUGGUAGUGUAUUGGACUACCAUGGCUUUAACGGGUAACGGAGGAUUAGGGUUCGAUUCCGGAGAGGGAGCCUGAGAAACGGCUACCACAUCUAAGGAAGGCAGCAGGCGCGUAAAUUACCCAAUCCUGACUCAGGGAGGUAGUGACAAGAAAUAACGGACCGGAGCUACGCUUCGGGAUUGCAAUGAGCCGAAUUUAAACCCCUUGGUGAGGAUCCAUU
RNAcentral lists this ribosomal RNA (521 nucleotides) under uncultured microeukaryote. RNAcentral describes it as "SSU rRNA". It matches the Rfam family "Eukaryotic small subunit ribosomal RNA", at positions 21 to 549 of the family's 1831-position model. The record is from RNAcentral.